This 50-nucleotide transfer RNA is filed under the name Sphagnum quinquefarium. RNAcentral describes it as "partial tRNA-Leu". Lineage: Eukaryota; Viridiplantae; Streptophyta; Sphagnopsida; Sphagnales; Sphagnaceae. The record is from RNAcentral.
CCAUCCAAACGAAGAAUCCUACCACGAAUUGAUCUAUCAAGUGAUUGAAC